This 432-nucleotide RNase P RNA is filed under the name Chlorobiota bacterium. RNAcentral's name for it is "RNase P RNA component class A". It matches the Rfam family "Bacterial RNase P class A". From Rfam's summary of the family: Ribonuclease P (RNase P) is a ubiquitous endoribonuclease, found in archaea, bacteria and eukarya as well as chloroplasts and mitochondria. Its best characterised activity is the generation of mature 5'-ends of tRNAs by cleaving the 5'-leader elements of precursor-tRNAs. Lineage: Bacteria; Pseudomonadati; Chlorobiota. The record is from RNAcentral.
GAUGCAAGUUGGGCAAUUGCUGCUCUAUAACGAGGAACGUUAUGAGUAGAGGAAAGUCCGAACUCCAGAGAACAGGGUGCCGGAUAACGUCCGGGGGUCAAAUGCAUAAGCGUUUGAUUAAGGAAAGUGCAGCAGAAAAAAUACCGUCCCGCUUAUGCGGGGUAAGGGUGAAAAGGCAGGGUAAGAGCCUACCGCUUUGUUAGUAAUAACAAGGGUCCAGUAAUGGAGUUCCGACUAGUCGGAAUCAGUGUAAACCCCACCUGGAGCAAGGUCAUGUAUAAGACUACCCGUCUAUUUUAGACGGGUCAAAGUUGUUCGCUUUGUAUGUCUUGGGUAGACCGCUAGAGUUUGAUAGCAAUAUCAAAUCGAGAUAAAUAAUUGCCGUCCUGAUUAUUCGGGACACAGAAUUCGGCUUAUAGACUCGCAUCAUCA